AAACUUUACAAUGCGGGAAACCGCGAUAAGGGGACACUGAGUGCCAGCAUCAAAUGUUGGCUGUCCAGAUGAUUAAAAAUCAUUUGUUAGCAAGGGCCGGGCAAGACCGGUGCCAGCCGCCGCGGUAACACCGGCGGCCCGAGUGGUAGCCGUUUUUAUUGGGUCUAAAGGGUCCGUAGCCGGCCUGAUAAGUCCUUUGGGAAAUCUGGCAGCUUAACUGUCAGGCUUCUAAGGGAUACUGUCAGGCUUGGGACCGGAAGAGGUAAGGGGUACUCCAGGGGUAGGAGUGAAAUCUUGUAAUCCCUGGGGGACCAUCUGUGGCGAAGGCGCCUUACCAGAACGGGUCCGACGGUGAGGGACGAAAGCUAGGGGAGCAAACCGGAUUAGAUACCCGGGUAGUCCUAGCUGUAAACGAUGCUCGCUAGGUGUCAGACACGGUGCGACCGUGUUUGGUGCCGCAGGGAAGCCGUUAAGCGAGCCACCUGGAAGUACGUCGCAAGGC
RNAcentral lists this ribosomal RNA (502 nucleotides) under uncultured euryarchaeote. Its description in RNAcentral is "bacterial SSU rRNA". It matches the Rfam family "Archaeal small subunit ribosomal RNA", at positions 345 to 849 of the family's 1478-position model. The record is from RNAcentral. Lineage: Archaea; Methanobacteriati; Methanobacteriota.